UACAGAGGUCUCAAGCGUUAAUCGGAAUUACUGGGCUUAAAGGGUGCGUAGGCGGCGCUGUAAGUGCUUUGUGAAAUCCCAUGGCUUAACCAUGGAAUUGCUCGGCAGACUGCAGUGCUUGAGGUUGGUAGGGGUCGCUGGAACUCUAGGUGGAGCGGUGAAAUGCGUAGAUAUCUGGAGGAACACCGGUGGCGAAGGCGGCAUCCUGGACCGGUAUUGACACUGAGGCGCGAAAGCCAGGGGAGCAAACGGG
RNAcentral lists this ribosomal RNA (253 nucleotides) under uncultured bacterium. RNAcentral's name for it is "partial 16S ribosomal RNA". It matches the Rfam family "Bacterial small subunit ribosomal RNA", at positions 524 to 776 of the family's 1533-position model. The record is from RNAcentral.